Long non-coding RNA from Anastrepha obliqua, 904 nucleotides. RefSeq lists it as uncharacterized. The transcript is spliced from 3 exons. Lineage: Eukaryota; Metazoa; Arthropoda; Insecta; Diptera; Tephritidae. The record is from RefSeq and is a predicted model, not a curated record.
AAUUUCGAUUUUUAAGCCGAUUUUCAAGCACUUGAUUUUUUUGUCAUACAAAAAAAUAUUUUUAUAUAAGCCACUUUCUUUCUUUUUUUGUAGUUUUUUACGUCUUAUCUCGAGUAGCUAACUGUUUUGUGUCCGCUUCGCUUGCACGUCCGCACGCAAAUGAAUCGUCCACAAGCAGCUAACUCUACAACUUGGCUACUAAUAAACGAAAUCGCUAGUUAACGGUAGAGACAAUCGAGGGAGCAAAAAAAAAAAAAUAUGAGAAAACAAAAGGCAGCAAUUUGAAUGGCACUCAAAAAACACAGUGCAAAGUGUAACAAAAAUUAGUAAAAACAAAAAAACAAAAUACUACAGCAACAACAAAGAGCCUACUAGUAUCUCUAAGCAAGCGAAGCAGAUGGUUACCACUACACAACAGACGCUCACUUAGAUGAAUGAUUAAUUUCCUCUAGUACUGCAUGUCGAUGUGUCGAUUUUUUACUGAGUAAGAUUGUGAAAGUAUGCCUAAACCUGUAAAGAUAUCGCAGAAAUAUGCGGUGGGUCAGCAGUUUUGGUUUUCUCCAGCUCAGGUAAACUUUCCUAAUCAAUAAUGAUUCCACACAGACCCCGGAACUUUUCUCUAUUAUUGCGAAGCGAAUGUCAGAUGUGAUUUUCAUCAAAAUAUACUUGCAAAUUUCUUGUACUCAGAAUCAAAUCGCAGUUCCAAGAUCACCAACAUACUGGACAAUGACACGGAAGGUGCUCAGGUGUUCAAGGGGCAACGCUCGCUGUACUUUCACUUUGCAUAGACAUCGCCUACUUGUGCAAAUAAUUCAGUUCAACAUUCGAAAAACUUACUUUUACACGUUUAUCAGAGUCGAGUCAGCUAUUAAGUUUAGUUAUGAAUCAUUUUAAUAAAUCAUUU